CUGCAUUUUACCAAAACACGUCACGGGGCGCCCGGCUGUCGGCGGCGUGAGGCCAGGCUGUCUGUGCUGCCCGGGAGACCCCUGGUUGCAUCCAUCGAGUGGACGAAGGGAGAGUCACUCAGCGGGCUGGGGGCCACUGGAGCUGGUGGCCGAGGUCUGAGCUCGGCUGUAACGAUGAGUCAGGGGCCUGGACCGAGAAGGGGAAGCAGCCAGGCGAGGCCGGCCCCAGUUCCUAGGACGAUUGGAUCAAUGGAAUAGGAUAAACACAUGAGCAAAUGAAUGAACGAAUGAUGGAGCCUGCGUCCCGGAUGACAGUGCAGACAGGCCCAGCUUGCGGCCGCUGAGGAUAAGCGGGGAUCCCGAGCCAGCAGCCAGGGCCAACCUUGAACUCAGCCGAGAGGAACGCCGGACUCCUCUCCAGCUGGAAGGCGUAGCCGGCGGGUUGAUGAGCCCGCUCUGAGUAAACGCUCAGCGCUUUUGUUCAGGGGAAGGGAAAGUCAGCCCCUGCCCGGUUGGAUCGGUGUCUCCUCCGCAGACGGCAGCCCAAGGCCUCUACAGCUUCCGCGGGUCAGUCGACAAGAAAAGAUGCCACGGCUGCGAGAAUGCAGCCAGGGAC
This 616-nucleotide long non-coding RNA is filed under the name Equus asinus (donkey). RNAcentral's name for it is "lncRNA (ENSEASG00005036172.1)". Lineage: Eukaryota; Metazoa; Chordata; Mammalia; Perissodactyla; Equidae. The record is from RNAcentral.